This 212-nucleotide long non-coding RNA is filed under the name Elaeis guineensis (African oil palm). RNAcentral's name for it is "long non-coding RNA (EGUI_LNC064152)". Lineage: Eukaryota; Viridiplantae; Streptophyta; Magnoliopsida; Arecales; Arecaceae. The record is from RNAcentral.
UUUUUUUCUAUUUGAUUUCUGUAUCUGAAUCCUAUCUUAUAUAUGUAGAUCUUAUUUUAUGUUUUUAAGAUUUAAUCUUAUGUAUGCUUAGAUUAAAUUAAGUUUAACUUGAAUUUUUAAUUUUCGUUGCAUACUUGUAUUGAAAAAUUUUUGCAUGCAUGAAAUCAUGAAAUUUCAAUAAGAUCAUCUUGAGCAUUAGGGUCAAAGGGAUG